CUCGUAGGUUAAUGUUAAUAGGCUAGUAAGCUAAUAGUAAUAGGCUAGUAAGCUAAUGGUAAUAGGCUCGUAGGUUAAUGUUAAUAGGCUAGUAAGCUAAUAGUAAUAGGCUAGUAAGCUAAUGGUAAUAGGCUCGUAGGUUAAUGUUAAUAGGCUAGUAAGCUAAUAGUAAUAGGCUAGUAAGCUAAUGGUAACAGGCUCGUAGGUUAAUGUUAAUAGGCUAGUAAGCUAAUGGUAACAGGCUCGUAGGUUAAUGUUAAUAGGCUAGUAAGCUAGGGGUGUAGGUUGAAGUUGGUAGCACUCUAAUGGUUGGA
This is a long non-coding RNA of Oncorhynchus tshawytscha (Chinook salmon), 314 nucleotides long. NCBI's taxonomy places the organism in Eukaryota, Metazoa, Chordata, Actinopteri, Salmoniformes, Salmonidae. The record is from Ensembl.